CAAUAGCGUAUAUUAAAGUUGUUGCAGUUAAAAAGCUCGUAGUUGGAUUUCUGGUGGGAGCGAUCGGUCUGGCGCUUAGCGCGAGUACUUGCAUCGUCUCCGGCCAUCCUUGGGGAGAGUCUGUCUGGCAUUAGGUUGUCGGGCAGAGGAUCCUCAUCGUUUACUGUGAAAAAAUUAGAGUGUUCAAAGCAGGCUUAUGCCGUUGAAUAUAUUAGCAUGGAAUAAUAAGAUAGGACUUUGGUACUAUUUUGUUGGUUUGCGCACCAAAGUAAUGAUUAAUAGGGACAGUUGGGGGUAGUCGUAUUCCGUUGUCAGAGGUGAAAUUCUUGGAUUUACGGAAGACGAACUACUGCGAAAGCAUUUACCAAGGAUGUUUUCAUUAA
This 383-nucleotide ribosomal RNA is filed under the name uncultured eukaryote. Its description in RNAcentral is "partial 18S ribosomal RNA". It matches the Rfam family "Eukaryotic small subunit ribosomal RNA", at positions 592 to 976 of the family's 1831-position model. The record is from RNAcentral.